GACGAACGCUGGCGGCGUGCUUAACACAUGCAAGUCGAACGGAAAGGCCCUGCUUUUGUGGGAUGCUAGAGUGGAGAACGGGUGAGUAACGCGUGUGUAACGUGCUCUAGACUUUGGUAUGCCUUCAGGAAACUGGGGCUAAUACCGGAUAGGCGCUCCUGCUGCAUGGUGGGGGUUGGAAAGUUUCGGCGGUUGGGGAUGGACUCGCGGCUUAUCUGCUUGUUGGUGGGGUAGUGCCUAACCAAGGCUUUGACGGGUAGCCGGACUGUGAGGGUGACCGGCCACAUUGGGAUUGGGAACGGGCCCGGACCCCAACGGGGGGAAGCGGUGGGGAAUAUGGCACAAUGGGCGGAAGCCUAAGCCAGCAACGCCGGGGGCGGGAGAACGGCCUUCGGUUGUUAAACCGCUUUCGCCUGUAACGAAGCGUUAGUGACGGUAAUUGGUAAAGAAGCACCGGCUAACUACGUG
This 468-nucleotide ribosomal RNA is filed under the name uncultured bacterium. RNAcentral describes it as "partial 16S ribosomal RNA". It matches the Rfam family "Bacterial small subunit ribosomal RNA", at positions 28 to 507 of the family's 1533-position model. The record is from RNAcentral.